UGGGGAAUAUUUGACAAUGGGCGAAAGCCUGAUCCAGCCAUGCCGCGUGUGUGAAGAAGGUCUUCGGAUUGUAAAGCACUUUAAGUUGGGAGGAAGGGCAGUAAGCGAAUACCUUGCUGUUUUUACGUUACCGACAGAAUAAGCACCGGCUAACUCUGUGCCAGCAGCCGCGGUAAUACAGAGGGUGCAAGCGUUAAUCGGAAUUACUGGGCGUAAAGCGCGCGUAGGUGGUUCGUUAAGUUGAAUGUGAAAGCCCCGGGCUCAACCUGGGAACUGCAUCCAAAACUGGCGAGCUAGAGUAGGGCAGAGGGUGGUGGAAUUUCCUGUGUAGCGGUGAAAUGCGUAGAUAUAGGAAGGAACACCAGUGGCGAAGGCGACCACCUGGGCUCAUAAUGACACUGAGGUGCGAAAGCGUGGGGAGCAAACAGG
Molecule: ribosomal RNA, 429 nt
Filed under: Pseudomonadota bacterium
Lineage: Bacteria; Pseudomonadati; Pseudomonadota
Description: Proteobacteria bacterium partial 16S ribosomal RNA
Rfam family: Bacterial small subunit ribosomal RNA
Source: RNAcentral